This 76-nucleotide transfer RNA is filed under the name Desulfuromonas sp. Its description in RNAcentral is "tRNA-Val". It matches the Rfam family "tRNA". Rfam says of the family: Transfer RNA (tRNA) molecules are approximately 80 nucleotides in length. Their secondary structure includes four short double-helical elements and three loops (D, anti-codon, and T loops). Lineage: Bacteria; Pseudomonadati; Thermodesulfobacteriota; Desulfuromonadia; Desulfuromonadales; Desulfuromonadaceae. The record is from RNAcentral. RNAcentral also lists the same sequence under 38 other names.
GGGCGAAUAGCUCAGCUGGGAGAGCGCCAGCCUUACAAGCUGGAUGUCACAGGUUCGAUCCCUGUUUCGCCCACCA